UCCGAAUUGGUGUAGUGGCUAACAUUUGACGCUCUCAAGUUGCUGGUCCCUGAAGCUAGCUCGUUGAAUAGAUCCGUCAAGCCCGGGGUUCGAUUCCCCGAUUCGGAG
Molecule: non-coding RNA, 108 nt
Organism: Camillea tinctor
Lineage: Eukaryota; Fungi; Ascomycota; Sordariomycetes; Xylariales; Graphostromataceae
Source: the annotation of a GenBank genome assembly